GAUUCUGGCUCAGGAUGAACGCUAGCUACAGGCUUAACACAUGCAAGUCGAGGGGCAGCAUAACGAAAGCUUGCUUUGUUGAUGGCGACCGGCGCACGGGUGAGUAACGCGUAUCCAACCUUCCCUAUACUAGAGGAUAGCCCGGCGAAAGUCGGAUUAAUACUCUAUGUUGUUCGAUGCGGACAUCUAAAUUGAACCAAAGGUUUACCGGUAUAGGAUGGGGAUGCGUCUGAUUAGGUUGUUGGCGGGGUAACGGCCCACCAAGCCAGCGAUCAGUAGGGGUUCUGAGAGGAAGGUCCCCCACAUUGGUACUGAGACACGGACCAAACUCCUACGGGAGGCAGCAGUGAGGAAUAUUGGUCAAUGGGCGAGAGCCUGAACCAGCCAAGUAGCGUGCAGGAUGACGGCCCUAUGGGUUGUAAACUGCUUUUGCCGGGGAAUAAAGUGCAGUACGUGUACUGUUUUGUAUGUACCCGGAGAAUAAGGACCGGCUAAUUCCGUGCCAGCAGCUGC
This 513-nucleotide ribosomal RNA is filed under the name uncultured bacterium. Its description in RNAcentral is "bacterial SSU rRNA". It matches the Rfam family "Bacterial small subunit ribosomal RNA", at positions 15 to 518 of the family's 1533-position model. The record is from RNAcentral.